Molecule: long non-coding RNA, 241 nt
Filed under: Nicotiana benthamiana
Lineage: Eukaryota; Viridiplantae; Streptophyta; Magnoliopsida; Solanales; Solanaceae
Description: long non-coding RNA (NBEN_LNC015054)
Source: RNAcentral
ACUCGCAGGGGUUGUGCGCCUGACGGUGUAUGUCUCGGUGGUUUAGGAGGUGUCGAAGAAAGACCACCGUGAGAGACCACUGUUGACGGUUCCGAGGAGAGAGAGAGGGGGUACUUACCUGUAGCUACCGGCGGCUCGUCGGGGAUGCCAAUGGUGUUACCCUGUCGCCGGAGAGGGGGGGUCGCCGGAGGUGGAGGGAUCGCCGGGGGAGGGGGAGAGGGGAGCUGGGAGCUGGGGGCUG